RNAcentral lists this small RNA (329 nucleotides) under Bos taurus (domestic cattle). Lineage: Eukaryota; Metazoa; Chordata; Mammalia; Artiodactyla; Bovidae. The record is from RNAcentral.
CUGGGUUGCGAUUUCCUUCUCCGAUUUCAAAGCACACAUGCUACAAACAAGACUUUUGCACUCUGGAAUAUGCGCUUGUCAAUACUGAGACCACCAUCAGAGGACGCACGCUAGAACUACUUAGUUUCUAAUCUGGAUCACCCUUUCUGCCACUAUUGAGAUUAUUGACAAAAUUUAGAACAAGUGCCUUGCUGUCACUGAGACUGCACAGUAGAGCAUACAUCCCAUCACUCCUGAACCCGGGUUAUUGAGAAUAUGGCCUGCCACUACUGAGCCUGUCCCUAAAACAUGCCUGUUGGAAGUACACAUACACUUUUGGUAUAUUACAC